GCUGCGUGGGCCGCUACGGCGGGGCGCGGACAGGUGGGCUGGCGGGGGGCGGGCCGCCGCCGUGUGUAGGCAGCAGAGCGGCUGCGGAGCGGCAGCGGCAGCGUCGGGAGCCCCGGCCCCGCGAUAAAAGGGAAGGGGCUGGGCGGCGGGCGGUGCGUGUUGCGGCACUGGGGGGAGUGUGGCUGGGAAGGAAGGAAGGAGCGAGCCAACCGCCUCCCGCAGGAAUCCCGGGCAGGCGGUAGUAGCAGCAGCCGGGACGCGCGGCUCCCCCUGGCUGGGAGGCGAGUGAGCAUCGAGGAGCAGCCGCUGCCGCCUCAUCCUGCGGCAGCGGCCGGCGCUGCUCAGAGAGCGCAGGUGGCAGUGUAGAAGCCAAGAACAAAAACUGGCAGAAAUUAUAUUCUGUGUACGAGAGAAUGAGGAGUAUACUCAUGACUAAGCACAGGAACCUGGAAAACUACAGGAUUCCUAGGAAGCCGUGGAGGAUGGGGUGAACUCAGAGCUGGAGCUUGAGGAUUUUUGGAACACAUGAAUGGGAAGUUAUCCUGAUAAGAGAACGCACCGGCCAAGCACACCUCUCAAGUGGUAUUUAUCCCAGUGUUAUCUCAGGAAGUGGAUGCUUCUGUGCAUCUUUUAUUGCAUGAAAUCAGCUCUUUGGAAGCUGCUUCAGUUGGAUUUUUCUGUUCAAAGUCCUUUGAGAAGACUGAGAAUGCUGCAUCGUUUGGAAUUGUGAAACAUCUUCAUGCGCAUCAAACCUUAUUUAUUUUCUUUUAAAUGUCAGCUAGGCUUGAUAUUUUUCUUUUCUUUUUUUCUUUUUUUUUUUCCUCUCCUUUUUUUGUUUUGGGGGAUGGUGUCUCUGCAGUUAUUCUCUAAUGCAUUACAAAUAGUUGAUUGUAUUUGUUAGUUUUCAUCUGGAUGUUUCUUGCUGUUCCUGAUAGUUGAAGAUGUUGUGCACUCUAUAAUAAAAAUAAUAAUAAUUCUGAAGUCA
RNAcentral lists this long non-coding RNA (985 nucleotides) under Numida meleagris (helmeted guineafowl). RNAcentral describes it as "lncRNA (ENSNMEG00000013115.1)". The record is from RNAcentral. Lineage: Eukaryota; Metazoa; Chordata; Aves; Galliformes; Numididae.